This 100-nucleotide ribosomal RNA is filed under the name Candidatus Yanofskybacteria bacterium RIFCSPLOWO2_02_FULL_44_18. RNAcentral describes it as "partial 16S ribosomal RNA". It matches the Rfam family "Bacterial small subunit ribosomal RNA", at positions 1291 to 1390 of the family's 1533-position model. The record is from RNAcentral. Lineage: Bacteria; Candidatus Yanofskyibacteriota.
GUUCGGAUAGGAGGCUGCAACUUGCCUCCUUGAAGCCGGAAUCGCUAGUAAUCGCUGAUCAGAACGCAGCGGUGAAUACGUUCUCGAAUCUUGCACUCAC